GAUGAAGAACGCAGCAAAAUGCGAUAAGUAAUGUGAAUUGCAGAAUUCAGUGAAUCAUCGAAUCUUUGAACGGACAUUGCGCCCGCUGGUAUUCCGGCGGGCAUGCCUGUUCGAGCGUUAUUUCAACCCUCAAGCCCCCGGGUUUGGUGUUGGGGAUCGGCUCUGCCCUUCUGGGCGGUGCCGCCCCCGAAAUACAUUGGCGGUCUCGCUGCAGCCUCCAUUGCGUAGUAGCUAACACCUCGCAACUGGAACGCGGCGCGGCCAUGCCGUAAAACCCCAACUUCUGAAUGUUGACCUCGGAUCAGGUAGGAAUACCCGCUGAACUUAAGCAUAUCAAUAAGCGGAGGA
Molecule: unclassified non-coding RNA, 348 nt
Filed under: soil metagenome
Description: partial contains 5.8S ribosomal RNA, internal transcribed spacer 2, and large subunit ribosomal RNA
Rfam family: 5.8S ribosomal RNA (bases 1-120)
Source: RNAcentral